This 468-nucleotide ribosomal RNA is filed under the name uncultured bacterium. Its description in RNAcentral is "partial 16S ribosomal RNA". It matches the Rfam family "Bacterial small subunit ribosomal RNA", at positions 28 to 507 of the family's 1533-position model. The record is from RNAcentral.
GACGAACGCUGGCGGCGUGCUUAACACAUGCAAGUCGAACGGAAAGGCCCUGCUUUUGUGGGGUGCUCGAGUGGCGAACGGGUGAGUAACACGUGAGUAACCUGCCCUUGACUUUGGGAUAACUUCAGGAAACUGGGGCUAAUACCGGAUAGGAGCUCCUGCUGCAUGGUGGGGGUUGGAAAGUUUCGGCGGUUGGGGAUGGACUCGCGGCUUAUCAGCUUGUUGGUGGGGUAGUGGCUUACCAAGGCUUUGACGGGUAGCCGGCCUGAGAGGGUGACCGGCCACAAGGCGACUGAGAGACGGCCCAGGCGCCAACGGGAGGCAGCAGGCGGGAAUAUUGCACAGUAGGCGGAAGCCUGAUGCAGCAACGCCGCGUGCGGGAUGACGGCCUUCGGGUUGUAAACCGCUUUCGCCUGUGACGAAGCGUGAGUGACGGUAAUGGGUAAAGAAGCACCGGCUAACUACGUG